CUCUGAUUUCGAAGGAGUUGUCACAUGCAUUCCUUUAGAUGAACCAGUGAUUGAAGCCUACACCUUUCUUGGUUUCCGUCUUCUGUGGGGUACUCGUCGUCUUGGUGGCUCGGAUUGCGUUUGCAAGACAUGCUACCAUCUCUUCAAUAUUCCGCACCCUUGUUUGAAGAGGACAUGUACAUGUGGACAUAGCAGGGUGGAGAAAAUAUGUGAAAUGUGUUAUAAUCGAAGCGGUGUGCUGCAUCCAUUCAGAGGAGAAUUCCAGUUUGGCUAUCACAAAUAGGGUUACCCCUACUGCUCACAUAAUAUGCUAAGCUAGACUUGGUGAGUUGGUGGUGGGGCAGUAUGUGUGUUCGAAUGCUCAAUGUGUAUCAUUCGUCCUUACAUCACUCUUGGCAAUCUUAUGUACUUGAGAACUUUGGCAAUCAUAUAAGUAUGCUGUCUCUUUUU
Non-coding RNA from Aegilops tauschii subsp. strangulata, 450 nucleotides. Lineage: Eukaryota; Viridiplantae; Streptophyta; Magnoliopsida; Poales; Poaceae. The record is from RefSeq and is a predicted model, not a curated record.